RNAcentral lists this ribosomal RNA (811 nucleotides) under Aestuariibacter sp. RNAcentral describes it as "partial 23S ribosomal RNA". It matches the Rfam family "Bacterial large subunit ribosomal RNA", at positions 1 to 846 of the family's 2925-position model. Lineage: Bacteria; Pseudomonadati; Pseudomonadota; Gammaproteobacteria; Alteromonadales; Alteromonadaceae. The record is from RNAcentral.
GUUAUAUGGUCAAGUGACUAAGCGUAUACGGUGGAUGCCUUGGCAGUUGGAGGCGAUGAAGGACGUUGUAGCCUGCGAAAAGCUUCGGGGAGUCGGCAAACAGACUUUGAUCCGGAGAUGUCCGAAUGGGGAAACCCACCUGGUGUAAGCCAGGUAUCUAUUACUGAAUACAUAGGUAAUAGAGGCGAACGAGGGGAACUGAAACAUCUAAGUACCCUUAGGAACAGAAAUCAAUUGAGAUUCCCCCAGUAGCGGCGAGCGACCGGGGAAGAGCCUGCAAGUAAUAGCAGUGCGGUUAGUGGAACGGUCUGGAAAGUCCGGCGAUAGAGGGUGAUAGCCCCGUACACGAAAACUGCGCUGUGGUACUGAGCUUGCGACAAGUAGGUCGGGACACGUGAUAUCUUGACUGAAUAUGGGGGGACCAUCCUCCAAGGCUAAAUACUCCUUACUGACCGAUAGUGAACCAGUACCGUGAGGGAAAGGCGAAAAGAACCCCGUUGAGGGGAGUGAAAUAGAACCUGAAACCGUAUGCGUACAAGCAGUGGGAGCAGACUUGUUCUGUGACUGCGUACCUUUUGUAUAAUGGGUCAGCGACUUAUAUUCUGUAGCAAGGUUAACCGACUAGGGGAGCCGUAGCGAAAGCGAGUGUUAACUGCGCGUUUAGUUGCAGGGUAUAGACCCGAAACCCGGCGAUCUACCCAUGGGCAGGUUGAAGGUUGAGUAACAUCAACUGGAGGACCGAACACACGUAUGUUGAAAAAUGCGGUGAUGACUUGUGGGUCGGAGUGAAAGGCUAAUCAAGCCGGGAGAU